CCUACGGGUGGCAGCAGUGGGGAAUAUUGGGCAAUGGGCGAAAGCCUGACCCAGCAAUGCCGCGUGAAGGAAGACGGCUUUCGGGUUGUAAACUUCUUUUACAGGGGAAGAGCAGAAGACGGUACCCUGAAAACAAGCCACGGCUAACUACGUGCCAGCAGCCGCGGUAAUACGUAGGUGGCAAGCUUUGUCCGGAUUUACUGGGUGUAAAGGGCGUGUAGCCGGGAAGGCAAGUCAGCUGUGAAAUCCGGAGGCUCAACCUCCGGAUUGCAUUUGAAACUGUUUUUCUUGAGUAGUGGAGAGGCAGGCGGAAUUCGUGGUGUAGCGGUGAAAUGCGUAGAUAUAAGGAGGAACACCGGUGGCGAAGGCGGUCUACUGGACAGCAACUGACGGUGAGGCGCGAAAGCGUGGGGAGCAAACAGGAUUAGAUACCCUGGUAGUC
This 442-nucleotide ribosomal RNA is filed under the name uncultured bacterium. RNAcentral's name for it is "partial 16S ribosomal RNA". It matches the Rfam family "Bacterial small subunit ribosomal RNA", at positions 338 to 795 of the family's 1533-position model. The record is from RNAcentral.